UGCCUAGCUUAGCAUUUGCAUAAGUAAGGCACAGGACUCUGCAUGAAGGGGUCAUCUUUAGAAUUCUGCGCACCACAGCUACCAACCUGGAAGCACUUUAGUCCCCUCUGGGGGUCCCGGAUGAAUGUGGAGGUCUCCAUGUUCCAGAGAUGGAUGCAGGUUCCCAGGUACUGCUACAAGGCUGAUGGAGAAAGGGAUGGCAACAGGAGCGUCAGACAAAGAAGCUCAUUCUAUAGACCCAGCAGGGCCAGCACUGACCAACAGAUGCACCAUCACCUCGGGAGGCAGGUUCAUUCUCUCUCUAGACAGGCUCGAGAAUGGAGACAGAAAAUGGAGGUAACUUGCCCAAGGCCACUCUGUAGACCAGGCAAUUUGAAAGGAAGAGAGGAUUUAGGCGCCAUACUCAAGGUUACCUGGGUAAGAAAUGAUGGAGCAAGAAUGUCACCCAUGGGACCACACCCCUGAAUCUAUAAAUUGGAGUGUUUCUGCAAAUUCUAAGAGGUUCUUAACAUUAUCCAGAAUGGUGCCCUGGUGGACGAUCAUGCACCUUG
RNAcentral lists this long non-coding RNA (551 nucleotides) under Homo sapiens (human). Its description in RNAcentral is "HSALNT0337130". The record is from RNAcentral. Lineage: Eukaryota; Metazoa; Chordata; Mammalia; Primates; Hominidae.